RNAcentral lists this ribosomal RNA (253 nucleotides) under uncultured bacterium. RNAcentral's name for it is "partial 16S ribosomal RNA". It matches the Rfam family "Bacterial small subunit ribosomal RNA", at positions 524 to 776 of the family's 1533-position model. The record is from RNAcentral.
UACAGAGGGUGCGAGCGUUAAUCGGAAUUACUGGGCGUAAAGCGUGCGUAGCCGGUUAUUUAGGUCGGAUGUGAAAGCCCCGGGCUCAACCUGGGAAUUGCAUUCGAGACUGAAUAGCUAGGGUACGGUAGAGGGAAGCGGAAUUUCCGGUGUAGCGGUGAAAUGCGUAGAUAUCGGAAGGAACAUCAGUGGCGAAAGCGGCUUCCUGGACCAGUACCGACGUUCAGGCACGAAAGCGUGGGGAGCAAACAGG